AACGCGAAGAACCUUACCAAGGUUUGACAUACAGGGAAAAGCCGUAGAGAUAUGGUGUCCGUAAGGGUCCUGUACAGGUGGUGCAUGGCUGUCGUCAGCUCGUGUCGUGAGAUGUUGGGUUAAGUCCCGCAACGAGCGCAACCCUCGUCCUAUGUUGCCAGCGGAUAAUGCCGGGGACUCAUAGGAGACUGCCGGGGUCAACUCGGAGGAAGGUGGGGAUGACGUCAAGUCCUCAUGCCCCUUAUGUCUUGGGCUGCAAACAUGCUACAAUGGCCAGUACAAAGGGUUGCGAGACCGCAAGGUGGAGCGAAUCCCAAAAAGCUGGUCUCAGUUCGGAUUGGGGUCUGCAACUCGACCCCAUGAAGUCGGAGUCGCUAGUAAUCGCAGAUCAGCAACGCUGCGGUGAAUACGUUCCCGGGCCUUGUACACACCGUAGUAC
This 439-nucleotide ribosomal RNA is filed under the name uncultured bacterium. RNAcentral describes it as "bacterial SSU rRNA". It matches the Rfam family "Bacterial small subunit ribosomal RNA", at positions 958 to 1398 of the family's 1533-position model. The record is from RNAcentral.